Molecule: ribosomal RNA, 476 nt
Filed under: Filifactor alocis
Lineage: Bacteria; Bacillati; Bacillota; Clostridia; Peptostreptococcales; Filifactoraceae
Description: bacterial SSU rRNA
Rfam family: Bacterial small subunit ribosomal RNA
Source: RNAcentral
GAUGAACGCUGCGGCGUGCUUAACACAUGCAAGUCGAACGAACGACUAUUAACAGAACCUUUCGGGGCGAAGAUGAUAGAAGUUAGUGGCGGACGGGUGCGUAACGCGUGGGUAAUCUGCCUUUGUCAAAGGAAUAACUAUUCGAAAGAAUAGCUAAAACCGUAUAACAUAUUAAUAGGGCAUCCUAAUAAUAUCAAAACGAUAGUGGACAAAGAUGAGCCCGCGUCUGAUUAGCUAGUUGGUGAGAUAAAAGCCCACCAAGGCAACGAUCAGUAGCCGACCUGAGAGGGUGAACGGCCACAUUGGAACUGAGACACGGUCCAAACUCCUACGGGAGGCAGCAGUGGGGAAUAUUGCACAAUGGGGGGAACCCUGAUGCAGCAACGCCGCGUGAGUGAAGAAGGCAUUCGUGUCGUAAAACUCUGUAGUAGGGGAAGAAAGAAAUGACAGUACCCUAAAAGAAAGCCCGGCUAUAC